CAUCUUGCAUGAUCACUUCGUACACUGCUUUGCCAAAAACAAAGGGAGGUUAACCAUACAUGUCACUCUAGUUUAUGCCUCAACUGACUGCCAAAAGAGGGAUAAAACAUGGGACGAACUGAUAAAAAUAAGUAGAACGAUCACUGGACCAUGGAUUCUACUCGGUGAUUUCAACGAGAUCAGAAGUAGGGAAGAUAGAAUAGGAGAACACGCCACAUUCUCUAUGCCAAACAUAAGG
This 238-nucleotide long non-coding RNA is filed under the name Zostera marina. RNAcentral describes it as "long non-coding RNA (ZMAR_LNC000049)". The record is from RNAcentral. Lineage: Eukaryota; Viridiplantae; Streptophyta; Magnoliopsida; Alismatales; Zosteraceae.